GACGAACUGUGCAAACGUUAUUCGGAAUCACUGGGCUUGAAGAGUGCGUAGGCGGUUUCGUAAGUAGGGUGUGAAAGCCCUCGGCUCAACCGGGGAAUUGCGUCCUAAACUGCGAGGCUGGAGUGAGGUAGGGGUGUGCGGAACUUCCAGUGGAGCGGUGAAAUGUGUUGAUAUUGGAAGGAACGCCGGUGGCGAAGGCGGCAUCCUGGACCGGCAUUGACGCUGAGGAGCGAAAGCCAGGGGAGCAAACGGG
Molecule: ribosomal RNA, 253 nt
Filed under: uncultured bacterium
Lineage: Bacteria
Description: partial 16S ribosomal RNA
Rfam family: Bacterial small subunit ribosomal RNA
Source: RNAcentral